Parasteatoda tepidariorum (common house spider) is the source of this 5489-nucleotide non-coding RNA. Lineage: Eukaryota; Metazoa; Arthropoda; Arachnida; Araneae; Theridiidae. The record is from RefSeq and is a predicted model, not a curated record.
UACCUUAUAUGCUUGGUGAACAAGUUUCUCUUAAUUAUAAAACUCAAGGAAAAAACUAGAUUAUGUCAUAGAUAUUGUUUCUGGAAAACAUACAUUAUCUCCUCAAGAGACUGUUCUGAAGUUGGCAGAAAUGAACUAUGCAUUCCUGAGUAUGGUUAUCAUUGGUAUCAUCUAUAUCAUUGUUAUGUUAAUUUCCGGACUUUUCUUCUUUUGUUGUCGUUUUUGUGGACGUUGUGGUGCCAAAAAUAGCCAAAAGCAACGACACACUGAUAACUGCUGGAGGAAUUUCCAUAAGUUCUGUCUAAUAUUCAUGAUAGCUUUUCUUGUUGUACCUAUUGUCUGCAUGUGCAUCAUUAAUCAACACAUGAUGCACUCAUUCCCAAAUGUUAAAGGAAAUGUUACAGAAGUUUUUAAUAUUGUACAUAAUUUUGCCAAUGAUACUGACAAGGAUGUUGAUAAUGCUCUUAAAGAAGCACAGGGUAGUCCAAUAAAAAACUAUGAAGCAUUUAAGGCUAAUUUUGUGGAACUAGUACAUGAAAAUAUAUCCAGCUCAAUAGAUCAUGAGAAAUUAGAAGACAUAAAAAACAUAGUUACUUGGGUCUUGUCUGUUGAAAACCAAUAUGAUGCUGUAGUCAAUGCAUCUAUAUUAUCUGACGCUGUAAAACAUCUGAAGUCUAGCAUUUCAAGCAUAAGGGAACAUAUGAAGAGUAUUCAUAACUGUACAAAUUCUAACAAAAAACUGUGCCAAUUGACUUUGCAGGAUUUGCCUAUAGAACGCAUCAAUAUUGAUGAUGCUUAUACUCAUGUUCAUGAGGAAUUUCAGAAACUGAUUAAAGCAAACUUCGAUCAAUUAAGAAGUGUAAUAGAUCAGAUACAAAACAACACCUUUUUAAGAAAUAAGAUAGAACAGGAGAGUGAAAGUUUGAAACGUUUUGUUGAAGAAGCUACUACAGAUGAUAAAACUGUUGCUAAGAAAAUUAAAGAAGAAACAAAAUAUUAUACUGAUAAGAUGAGAAAAUUUUCUAAAAUUGGAAAGGAAGAAUUGGAAAGUCGUUUUAAAGAAACUGAUGGAAUUGAACCAUACAGGUGGUGGGUUAUGUUUGGGAUAGCAUUGGUUUUAUUGCUGCCUGUAUUACUACUCACACUUGGACUUGUGUGUGGGUGUUGUGGACAUGAAAAAGAACGCCACCCUACAAAGAGGUCAUCUGCAUCUAACUGUGCUGGAUAUUGCUUUAUUUUGGCUGUUUAUUACUUUUUCUUGGUAUCUUCAGUAUUAAUGUUAGCUACAGUUGCUCUUUUUAUUGUUGGAGGAAAUAUGCAGUCAUUUGUUUGCAUUCCACUGUAUGAAGAAAAGUUUACUCUUUUAGAUGAUAUAACCCGAAAGAUAUCAACUAUCGAAAAUAACACUAUAUUACAGCGACUGAAGCCAAGUAAAUUCUUAAACGAUUGCUAUCAUGACCAAAGCAUAAUUUAUGCUAUUGGAUUUCUUGAUCAAAAUGACUCUAUGUCUUAUGAGAAACUUCUGACGCAAGUUGAUCUGAUGAAUGAAGCAGAUAGUGAAGCAAUAAAUGAUAAAUUGAAAUCGGCUCUGUUAGAAAUAACUUCAGGAAUACGAGAGAAACUCCAUCAAUUUACAACUGCUUUAAGUCUUGGUGAAUUGAAGGAGAUACCAGAAAAGCUCCAAGAGUUUUUGAGAACAUCUAAGUUUAGAAUAAAUGACUUUGUGCAUAAAGUAAGAACUGCUUUGGAAGAGGAAGGUGGGGAAGAUCUCGAUAGAAAUCUGUUACUAGUCAACAGUUCAGCAGAGAUGCUUUAUGAUGAAGUUCAUGAUUUUGAAAGGAAACUGAACAACUUUUCCUCUACUUUGUUAAACAUAUAUGAUGAAGCUGACCAUUACCAGUCUCUAAUUGAAGGAAUUGAAGACAGUUUAGAUCAAGUUGAAGAGAAGUUACCUUAUGUUGUUAAAGCACAACUCUUUCAUGCAGCUGCAGAAUCUGGUGGAAUCAAAGAUAUGGUCAAAAAUAUUGGUAAAUGUUAUCCUCUAUGGUUUGCUUUUGAGAUUUCCAGAGUUGCAGCUUGUGAUUUUGUGAUAUAUCCAGUGAAUGGAUUCUGGUUUGCACUUGGCUGGGCUUUAGUUUUUAUCAUUCCUACAAUCUUUUUUUCUGUAAAGUUGUCAAGGCAUUAUAUCCGCAUGAAAUAUGAUGACGAUACAUACAUUUUUCUUACAGGGUUGACUGUGGAGAAGCUGUUCCUUUAGAAGAUAUGAGUAGAACUAAGCCUUUUUCAUACACAAACCCAGGAGCAAUGAGUUGGAUGCCUCAGUUUAACCCUCAUCAGAAUUAUAUGGUGCACCCAACCUCCAAUGGUCAAACUCGCCACUUUAAUUACAAAUAAAUCUAGGAUCUACGUGAGUGCCUUUUGUACAGAUUGCUGAAAGCAGUGUGAAUAUUGAAGAUUGUAAAUUUUUUCUUCAGCUUUUGUUUGUAUAUGUUGAUGUUGUUUCCUUAUAAUAUAUUAAGUAGUUAAAUAAAAACGUUGUUACAUUUCAAAUUUUAAUUCUUUUAAAAACUGCUAUAUUACUAUGACCUUGCUUCUUUUAAUCUGUUAAUUAAAUUGUCAAAGGUGUUAAAUUAAUUGGUGCUUUUUAUAGUUCAAUUUUAAAGUAUUUAAACAAAUCUGUUGCACAUUGUACGCUUAUAAUGAUUUCCGGUGCCUGAAUUUGUAGUUACUGCUAAAAGCUGUUUAAGGUAUGUGAUAAAUUCAUAUUUGUUGAGCACAUUGUUCAAAUUCUAAUCUUGUUUGCAUCAUGCAAUAAUUUAAGUAAUGGUAGCUAUUGCUUGUUUUUUGAUAAUUCAUUUGUGAUUUAAAUUUGCUGAAUUCUUACUAAAUUAAAAUCUUCAAUGCACAGGAAAAGUGUGAUAUUUUUAAUAAUUCCAUUGGACAGCUCUAUUUCUGUGGUACAAUACAUAUAUCUUCAAUGUCUGAAUGUUCUACUAUAUUAGCACAUGCAUAUGCACAAUAUCCAUAUCGCAAAACCGUGCACAUCUGAUGCACAAUGAAUGCUUCCGUGUCCCGUUUGAACGAAAUACUAAGAACGAAAUAUGGUCUAUAGUUUUUCUUUGGCUUUAUGCAGUUUUUAAAUGUUCAUAUAGCAAACAUGAAGAGUUGAAUGUAUUUUGCAAUAAAAAAAUAUUUUGAAUUGUAAAAAGUGGCAAGAUUUAUAGAUAUUUUGCCAUAUUGUUCAGUAUUCUUGUACUAAGGAUUUAUCUGUCAUCCAUUGCAAAUCCCAUAGAUUUCAUUGUAAGUGUUCAUCCUCCUAUGUAAAUUGCUAUAUUUCACAUUUCAUCAAUGGAAUAUUUUUUUGCUAGAAUCUAGUUUUCUGUGUCAAUAUUUGUAUCGUCUUGUACAUAAAUGAUGUAUUUAACAUGUCAAAACAAUGUUUUAAUUUAUUGAUUUUGUUUUUAGUGGGUUUAUAUGCUGUGAUGUUAGUGGCAGAAUUUACUUAAAUGAUUUAACUCCUAAAUGUCAUAGUUUUGUAGUUUUUUAAAUUUCUCUAGUCUUUGUACUCCUUUCCAAGACUUUGUGCAUUCAUAUGAAUUUUAAACUUUUUCCUCUCAUUCUGUUUUAGUGAUGGAUGGCAUUAUCAUGUCAUAUAGACAUAUAUAUGUCAUAUCAUCUAGAAUAUGUCAAAAUAUUGAUGUAUCGCGUUGCAUAUCUAAUUUUUGUUUCCCAAAUAACAUUUCCUUCCACUCACAAUAAUAUUGUAAUCGAUUAUUAAAUUUAUGGAUAAUAAUCAAUUUUAAUUAUUGAUGAUGAUUGCAAUAUUAUCAUAUCCAAUGAUUAUCCUUAUUGAUAAUACUAGUGACAUUAUUGUAUUUAGUAUUAUUUUCAUGACAAUAACUGUAACUUCCAUACUUUUUAUGAACAUAUUCUAAUUUAUUUUAUAAUCGUUACUAGAACGUCAAUAAUUCACGAUAUACAGCCAUGGCUUAACCACAAUAUUUUUUUCUAUUUGUGGAAGUUAAUUCAAUUAUAUAACGUAUUAAAUUAUAAUACUAAUACUUUAUCUGUAGUAUUUAUAAUUUAAUUGAGAUUUUGCUUAAGUUAUACUUGGUAAUAUUAGGAAAAGUUAUUAUAAAUAAUUUCCUUUUUCUUUCAUCUUUUUCUAUUUAUUAAAAGAAAAAAUCACUUUUCUAUUAACUAACUAACUUGAACAUGUUAUUUCAACUAACAAUUAGUUCCUAAAUAAUUCCUUAAACCUAUUUCUAUAAGUUUUCAAAAGAAAUAUAUCAAAAUAUAUCUUUAUAAUAUUACUCAUAAUUUUAAAUCAAGUAGUUCAACAAAAUGUGUAUCUAAUCUUGAUAAUAAAAUUUAAAUUAUUUAAGUUUAAUUUAAAUUUUAAAAAAAAAUUCACAAUUUGUCAUCAGAAUGAAACCUUUUUUUUUUUAAAUAUAAUUUAAAUCAUUUGUACUUUUUCAUUAUCUGGUCACUAGAGAAAAAAAAUUAAGUUUUGUUAUCAAAUUAAAGGAAGCGUAAAGAAAAAACAUCUUGAAAUAAAAAUCUGAAAAUCAGAAUAAAAUGUUUGUUACUAACAGGUUAAAAACAAUGAACUAAAUUUAGUUAAUACUAUUUUUCUUAAUACUUAAAAUACUUGGUGGCCAUUUUGGCAAAGGGAUUUUAAUCUGGUACCCAACUAACAGAUUACAUUCCAAAAUUUUACUGCCUUAAAUACUUAAAAGUAAUAUUAAUAGUAUUCCUUAAAUGUUAUAUAAUUACAAUUAACAUUUUUAGACUCCUAUGAUUAUACACUUUUUUCUCUAUGCAAUUCAAAACUCGUCCACUGUAGCUACGUUUACUUUAAAAUUUGCCUUAAUUUAGCAACGAAAUGUAUCUUAAGGAUAGUUUUCUAUUGAAGGUAGCAGUUUUACAUAUACAUUUAAACUAAAUGCUUGUGGAAAACUCUUCAGUGUGCAACUUGUAAAAAUUACAUUGGUAACAUUUAGAAGUUAAAUCAUUUGUCCUGCCUCUUUAAUUGCCUUAAUGUGUUAACUAUGUUGUAUGAUUUUUUCAGUAUUUAAUUCUUUUACUUCUGCAAGACGUGGAUUCAUUAUAUUUACUUUUCAAUGUUGUAUUUUUCUGAACGGAAAACAUUUUUCAAGAAACAAAAACUUUAUAUUUAGAAAGAGUACCUUGUUGCCAGUUAAAUUGUCUUCCGCCUUUAACGAGACAUAUUUUUUAGUCUAUUGAAAGAUUAGAUUUUAAUGGAUUGACUCAGCCUGUUUUGUAUUAUAGACAUUAUGUUGAAUUUUAAACGAACAAAGUACCUAAAAAAAAAUAUCCGUCUGAUUAACCUUCAUCAAUCCUCUGUUGGAGAUUGAUUUGAUCAAACAUAAAAAUGAUAUUGUGAAUAUUUCACGUUUUACAGAUGUGCCAAAUAUUUAGUGUGUAAUUUUAUUGAACUUGUGAUAAUAAAGUGUCAUUAAUGUCAA